Molecule: ribosomal RNA, 482 nt
Filed under: uncultured bacterium
Lineage: Bacteria
Description: partial 16S ribosomal RNA
Rfam family: Bacterial small subunit ribosomal RNA
Source: RNAcentral
GACGAACGCUGGCGGCGCGCCUAACGCAUGCAAGUCGAACGAGCGAGAGAGAGCUUGCUUUCUCGAGCGAGUGGCGAACGGGUGAGUAACGCGUGAGGAACCUGCCUCAAAGAGGGGGACAACAGUUGGAAACGACUGCUAAUACCGCAUAAGCCCACGGGUCGGCAUCGACCAGAGGGAAAAGGAGCAAUCCGCUUUGAGAUGGCCUCGCGUCCGAUUAGCUAGUUGGUGAGGUAACGGCCCACCAAGGCGACGAUCGGUAGCCGGACGGAGAGGUUGAACGGCCACAUUGGGACUGAGACACGGCCCAGACUCCUACGGGAGGCAGCAGUGGGGAAUACUGCACAAUGGGGGAAACCCUGAUGCAGCGACGCCGCGUGGAGGAAGAAGGUCUUCGGAUUGUAAACUCCUGUUGUUGGGGAAGAUAAUGACGGUACCCAACAAGGAAGUGACGGCUAACUACGUGCCAGCCGCCGCGGUAA